RNAcentral lists this transfer RNA (88 nucleotides) under Bacillota bacterium. RNAcentral describes it as "Firmicutes bacterium (anaerobic digester metagenome) tRNA-Leu". It matches the Rfam family "tRNA". From Rfam's summary of the family: Transfer RNA (tRNA) molecules are approximately 80 nucleotides in length. Lineage: Bacteria; Bacillati; Bacillota. RNAcentral also lists the same sequence under 1 other name. The record is from RNAcentral.
GCCGAAGUGGUGGAAUUGGCAGACGCGCUAGAUUCAGGGUCUAGUGCCCGAUAAGGGCGUGCGGGUUCAAAUCCCGCCUUCGGCACCA